ACAUUGCUUAAGCAUUACUUCCAUCAAAGGUGUAAAUAUCAAUUAAUUCUUGUGAAAGGAUGCUUUAAUUACCCCCUACUAAUGAGUAAUGAUCCCCGCAUGAAAUGACAAAGUGAAACUAAUUUUUUUUUUUUUUAACAUAUAACCACUCCCAACUGGCUUGUUUUAUUGGAGAAGGGGAUGUGGAAUAAACAACAUGAGACAGCUGAGACCUGAGUCUGGGAGGAACCCCCUUCCCUCCCCAUACAUGCCCACUGCCCCAAAUAAAAAAUAAUCAACUAUGCGAGAGCAGCCGAGACAGCGACUAGGGGCAGGGGAAGGAGACACGGAACUCGAGGGCAGUGGUGAAGAGACCAUGCGUGUGCUGGGAAGGCCUAGAGGAAGCGGUGGCACGAACAGUGCCAAGUACAAGUCUCUGUGUCUUGCCGGGGUUAUGUAUAAAUACAGAGAUGAGGCCUUCUUUCCCCCUGCUCUCCCUUCUGCUCCAUGCUGCUGGCUGCGGUCCCAGCUCCUCUUUCCACAUGAGGGCGAAGAGAGGGGGGAUGAACAAGUCAUCACCGAAUUGCAAUCAGACCGACAUCCAUCAGCUUCUGGAUCUUCUGUGCUAUUACAGGAUUCUCUAAGUGUUCGCUGAGUGCCUGGGGGUCCUUCUGCAUCUGUUCCAGGAUAAGGCGCAUGGCUGGGUCACUCAUAAUGUGCUGCACCUCGGGGUCGGCCAUGGCUGGUCGUUUCACAUCUUCCGGACUGUCAAGCCGGUUGCAUUACGCCAUCAUACAGCGCUGGUAGCCGGCUGCCGCCUCCUUACAGCUGGAGUCCCGGUCGAGCGCCUUCUGGUACACACCCAUGGCUUUGGUGCAGUCCUUCAUCGCUCCCAGGGCAGAGGCUUUCCGGGUAUAACCCUUGAUAAAGGUCGGCUCCAGCUGGAUACAUUCCUCACAGUCCUUGAGUGCCAGCUGGAACUCCAGAAGUUUGGUGCAGAAGGCAGCUCGAUCACUGUACAAUUUGGCAUCUUUUGGAUUCCUUUUGACGUCCUCUGUAUAAUGCUUCACGGCCUGGGGAUACUCCCCUUUCUGAAAACACUCGUUGCCUUUGUUCUUCUCCUCCAAAGCCAGGUCGGGGUUUAUGUAGGCCAGCUGCUCUUGCUCCUUCAGUGUUUUCUCUGCCUGCUUCUUAUUCUCUGGAAGAUCUUCUUCCAUUGGCUCUGGCUUGGUCUCCUUUUUGGGAGGGGUGGUGGUGGUGUUGCAACCUCUUCCUCCUCAUCCAUACUGCCCAGAUCGACCCCAAGGAGGACACUGAGAGUGGUCAUGAUCCGGGGAUCCUGUAGUUUCGUGCCCAGAUCGGAAGGCUUGUUUCGCAGCUGCUCUACCAGCUCCUCGUAGGUGGGAUCACUAAGAAGUGUCCUUGUCCUGGGAUCACUCUCCAACUUCUGACACAGAUUGGGCAUGUUGAAAGCGUUCGUGAAUAAUCUCUGUGCCAACCUGGCCUCCAUAUUCUGUAAACCCUCUUUCAGCUGAGGGUUAUUUACCUCGUGUUUUAGCCCUCUUCGUAGGUUCGCUUGACUUCUUCAAACUGGUUUAAGAACUCAAGAACUGCUGCUUUUCGUGACUAGCCCUUGCCCCAGUCAGGCUUUAGGUCGACGGUCUUGCAGCCGUCCUCAUAAGCCUUUCAGUAGUCUCCUUUCUUGGCACAGGCGGCAGAACGGUUGCUGUAGAGAAAGUGGUUGUGGGGAUCCAGCUUAAUGGCUUCGGAGUAGCUCUGUAAGGCAUCAUCAACAAGGCCCCUGCACUCAGGGCCUUGCUGCCCUUCUCUUUCAGCUCAUUGACCUGCUCCAUAGCGCAGUGCAGCCCGGAACCCCGUUCGACAAAGUGAAACUAAUUUUUAUCCUUCCUUUCCUUUUUUUGUACCCCUUCUGUAACUGUUUUAUUUUUAUACUUUAU
RNAcentral lists this long non-coding RNA (1937 nucleotides) under Callithrix jacchus (white-tufted-ear marmoset). Its description in RNAcentral is "lncRNA (ENSCJAG00000083667.1)". Lineage: Eukaryota; Metazoa; Chordata; Mammalia; Primates; Cebidae. The record is from RNAcentral.